UCUCCGUAGGUGAACCUGCGGAGGGAUCAUUACAGAGUUCAUGCCCUACCGGGUAGAUCUCCCACCCUAUGUUAUUAUUACUUUGUCGCUUUGGCGGGCCGUUAGGCUCCGGCCCGACUACCGGCCCCGGCUGGUAAGCGCCCGCCAGAGGACCCAAAACCCUGAAUAUUAGUGUCGUCUGAGUACUAUAUAAUAGUUAAAACUUUCAACAACGGAUCUCUUGGUUCUG
RNAcentral lists this unclassified non-coding RNA (229 nucleotides) under plant metagenome. Its description in RNAcentral is "partial contains small subunit ribosomal RNA, internal transcribed spacer 1, and 5.8S ribosomal RNA". The record is from RNAcentral.